AGCAAACUUAAACACCUUUUUCCCCAGUUCAGUUCUAACCUUUGGAACAGACAGAAGGAAAAGAUCCUGGGAACGAAGAUUGUAAGUCCCAAUACUAUUUACACUGAUAUA
Long non-coding RNA from Sander lucioperca (pikeperch), 111 nucleotides. RefSeq lists it as uncharacterized. The transcript is spliced from 3 exons. The record is from RefSeq and is a predicted model, not a curated record. Lineage: Eukaryota; Metazoa; Chordata; Actinopteri; Perciformes; Percidae.